This 711-nucleotide long non-coding RNA is filed under the name Sus scrofa (pig). RNAcentral describes it as "lncRNA (ENSSSCG00035079281.1)". The record is from RNAcentral. Lineage: Eukaryota; Metazoa; Chordata; Mammalia; Artiodactyla; Suidae.
CUUCACCUUUAAAAGUCACAACCUGAACGAUCUUAGAGUCUAAAAUCUCACAAUUAAGGUGUGUUGAUUACUAGGGUAACUUGACAUUUGCAGUGACAUAUUAAACCUCUUGGAGGUGUAUUAAUAUUUUGAUUGCACUGAAUAUUCUCUAAUGAUUCAUUGCAGUGGUGCCCUUCCCUGGAAACGAAACCUACGUUUCUUCAUCCGCACGUAUAAACUACGUUUGGCGAUGUUGUCAUAGAGAUUAACAAGAGCUACGGUUUGAUAAAACGACUUCGUAAGCAAAGAUAAAGAGCUGUUCCCUUCACUUGGGGAAGAUUCGCGAUGAAAGUGGCCAUUCAUGGGCCUGGAGCAGACAUCAGCCAUCUCCUUCUCAGUGUGGCUGCGAGUCCCCCUCAAGGAGGAAUACUAACAAACAGCAUCCUGAUUAACUGCAAAGUGGAAGACACUGCCAUUACAAGGAAGGAACAAAACAUAAAUGGCUACUCAUUAUGCCUGUGUAACAUGGAUCUACAAGUACCCACUAAUAGAAAAGAACAUGAAACAGCAGGAAUAGAGGCCGGAAACUGCAGACAAAAAUUAUCACAAUGAGGUAAGUGGUUGUAAAUUUAGUUUGCAGAAGUCAAUAAUGUGUCUAUAACCACCUGGGAAAGACAUGUUUUCUAACAGCCAUAAAUGUGCAAGUCUAAAAGGAACUUAUCAAAAAAUGAC